AUACUCUUCCUUGGCCACGUGUAUAUACUAAUAUUGGAACGAUAGAGAGAUGAGCGUGGCGUCUGCACAUGGAUGACACAUUUUUUUUAUAGAACAAGUGAUUUAUU
Pieris brassicae (large cabbage white) is the source of this 107-nucleotide small nuclear RNA. Lineage: Eukaryota; Metazoa; Arthropoda; Insecta; Lepidoptera; Pieridae. The record is from RefSeq and is a predicted model, not a curated record.